Molecule: ribosomal RNA, 498 nt
Filed under: uncultured bacterium
Lineage: Bacteria
Description: partial 16S ribosomal RNA
Rfam family: Bacterial small subunit ribosomal RNA
Source: RNAcentral
AUUGAACGCUGGCGGCAUGCUUUACACAUGCAAGUCGAACGGUAACAGGCCGCAAGGUGCUGACGAGUGGCGAACGGGUGAGUAAUGCAUCGGAACGUGCCCAGUCGUGGGGGAUAACGCAGCGAAAGUUGCGCUAAUACCGCAUACGAUCUAUGGAUGAAAGCGGGGGACCGUAAGGCCUCGCGCGAUUGGAGCGGCCGAUGUCGGAUUAGGUAGUUGGUGGGGUAAAGGCUCACCAAGCCGACGAUCUGUAGCGGGUCUGAGAGGACGACCAGCCACACUGGGACUGAGACACGGCCCAGACUCAUACGGGAGGCAGCAGUGGGGAAUUUUGGACAAUGGGCGCAAGCCUGAUCCAGCAAUGCCGCGUGCAGGAAGAAGGCCUUCGGGUUGUAAACUGCUUUUGUACGGAACGAAACGGUCCUGGUUAAUACCCGGGGCUAAUGACGGUACCGUAAGAAUAAGCACCGGCUAACUACGUGCCAGCCGCCGCAGUAA